Molecule: ribosomal RNA, 497 nt
Filed under: uncultured bacterium
Lineage: Bacteria
Description: partial 16S ribosomal RNA
Rfam family: Bacterial small subunit ribosomal RNA
Source: RNAcentral
GAUGAACGCUGGCGGCGUGCCUAAUACAUGCAAGUCGAGCGAACGGACGAGAAGCUUGCUUCUCUGAUGUUAGCGGCGGACGGGUGAGUAACACGUGGAUAACCUACCUAUAAGUCUGGGAUAAAUUCGGGAAACCGGAGCUAAUACCGGAUAAUAUUUUGAACCGCAUGGUUCAAAAGUGAAAGACGGUCUUGCUGUCACUUCUAGAUGGAUCCGCGCUGCAUUAGCUAGUUGGUAAGGUAACGGCUUACCAAGGCAACGAUGCAUAGCCGACCUGAGAGGGUGAUAGGCCGCAUUGGAACUGAGACACGGUCCAGACUACUACGGGAGGCCGCAGUAUGGAAUCUUCCGCAAUGGGCGAAAGCCUGACGGAGCAACGCCGCGUGAGUGAUGAAGGUCUUCGGAUCGUAAAACUCUGUUAUUAGGGAAGAACAUAUGUGUAAGUAACUGUGCACAUCUUGACGGUACCUAAUCAGAAAGCCACGGCUAACUACGUG